Dunckerocampus dactyliophorus (ringed pipefish) is the source of this 6642-nucleotide long non-coding RNA. RefSeq lists it as uncharacterized. The record is from RefSeq and is a predicted model, not a curated record. The transcript has 9 exons. Lineage: Eukaryota; Metazoa; Chordata; Actinopteri; Syngnathiformes; Syngnathidae.
CAUUUUAAUUUAAUAUUUAUUUAUGCAUGCCAUAUGUUUGUUUUGUUUUAUUUAAGUCAAACCAAGCAAAUUCAUAAUUUUUAAAAAAUAAUGAAUUAAUACACAUGAUCACUGUCAUGUCUGAAGUGCGUUUUAGAGGAAUUUAUGAAGGCACUUUGUCAAGGAAAUGAGGAGGAAGAUGACUAAAAUAUUGCUCAAUCUUACUUCAGGAUAAGUCCGACAUCAUUUGUAUAUUUUACUUAUUUUCAUGUCGUUUUUGGCUUGCUGUCUACGACCCACUUUUGGGUCCCGACCGGCCAACUGAGAACAGGUCGCAGGUCAGUUAUUUGUAUUUUUUGUCAUGUUCAAAUUUUGUGCGCUUGUAACGGUAGUUACGAUGUCAACACGGGCCAAACAUUGAACGUUUUCCUGUCAUUUUGAGGUAGCGUUAUUGCGAUGUUUAAUGCUGCAUACGCAGUCCAGCAUCAUAAACAAUCCGGAGGAUGCGAGGUGGGAUACGCUGCGGUUGUCUACAACCAUACAUGUCUUGUUUAGGAAAGAGAAAUGUGAAAAUAGAUUUUCAAAUUGCUUUUUAGUGGAAUAUUUAGCUUUUCAGAGAAAUCCAAUCAUGCCUGUAUUUCCAGUAAUAAUUUACUACAGCUGUAAUGUCAUGCACUGUUGGAGUUUGACCUUGUAUUUCGUGCAUUUUCCCAGGAUCUGUGCGACCUUUAAUCACUUCUAAUUAGCACCAGCAUGUCCGACAUGGCAAGAAAAAGGAAAUUCAGGAAAUGCUCCGUCCUAAAUGCUUACCUGCUCUUCAGUUGCAAAGUUGCAGAUGUCCUCGUCCAGUCAUGAGCGCCUUGCAGCAGAGGGAGAGUGGAGCAGAGUGGACGGAGGACAGCGAGGGAGGGAGACGGACAGAGAGGGAGGGAGAGAGGGAUGGAGGAAUGGGUUGCAUACAGGAGAAAGAGAGAAGGGGGAAGACUGCUGCACGAUCGCGUCGUGGCAUUUUUAUAGCAGGCUUUUGUGUGACGUGGUCCAUGUCAUUGUGUGUGUUGUCAUCACGCCCCCUCCUUAACCCCACCUCACCGUCCACCCUCUCCACGCCCCCGUUAUCAAAAUGAGGCAGCAUCAUCACUUAUCGCUGUGUGAACGCUCUGAAUGGAGCAUUCACACCACUGCUGCUCUUGCAUAUUUUUCAUCCAAUUAUUCCUGCUCGGGCAUUCAAAGGUGGUCCAAAUACUUUAGUAGUUUGUUUCAAAAAGUGAAUCUUUGUUUGUUUUUUUAUAGAUUCCCUAUACACAGAGUGAAAUAUUUUAAGAAUGUGUUUAAUUUUUUUAUAUAUACUACUGACCACCACCUGCUGGGGCUUGGUUUAAGAGGGGACAGACAGAAAAGAGGCAAAAGGAAGCAAUCAAAUGCAACAGUAACAUCUGCUAGUGCUUGCUUUAAGAAGGGACAGAAAAAUGUAUAAAGAAGAUUGCCAAUAAACAACCACAAAACCACCUGCCUAGUGCUUGCUUUAAGAAGGGAUAGACAGAAAAGCAGCAACAGGAAGCAUCCAAAUACAACAGUAACAUCUCCUGUUAGUGCUUGCUUUAAGAGGGGACAGAAAAACAAAGGAAAUGACAAAAAAAAACACAAAACUAGCUGCUAGUGCUUGGUUUAAGAAGGGAUAGACAGAAAAGCUGCAACAGGAAGCAUCCAAAUACAACAGUAACAUCUCCUGCAAGUGCUUGCUUUAAGAGGGGACGGAAAAACAAAGGAAACAAGGGCGGUCUCAUCAUUUUUUCCAUGACUGCAUAGAAAGGAGAUGGCAAAUAACAACACAAAACCACCUGCUAGUGCGCAGUUUAAAAGGGGACAGACAGAAACACGGCAACAGGAAUCAAUCAGAUACAGCUGUCACAUCGCCUGCUAGUGCUUGAUUUAAGCGGUGACAGAAAAAGAUAAAUGAGAUGGCAAGUAUUAAAAACAACCUGCUAGUGCGCGGUUUAAGAGGGGACAGACUGACGCGGCAGCAGGAAGCAAUGAAAUACAUCUGUAACGUCACCUGCUCGUGCUUGGUUUAAGAGAGGACAUAAAAUGAUAUAAAGGAGAUGGCAAAUUAAAAAACAACAAACAGCACCUGCCAGUGCUUGGUUUAAGAGGGGGCAGCCAGAGAUAAAGGAGACACCACCACCAAGUAGUGCUUGACGUAGCUUGGUUUAAGAGGGGACACCUCAGCAUUUACAUUCACUAUUUCUACUUUUGUCCUCAUCGCACUUAAGAGCAUGGCCAUCUCCCUCCCCACAGACUGAAGGUCAAUCAAAGGGCAAAGUGAGUAUUAUUUUUCUCAGCUUGAACAUUUGUCAGAGACAAUAUAUUGGACUUUUUCAGCAAUAAUGAACGGUGAGAUGAUGUCAUGGCGUUGCCAGAAGAUCACAAGCUAAGCCUCCCAUUGGACUGUGGUGUCCGUAUGACAGAAAUGGGUCUAAUAAUAGCGGUCUAAUCCGUGUCGCAGGCUGGCGCGGAAAAGAUGAAACUGAGAUGUUGGUCUCUGUGAUCCUACAGCCGUGGACACGUUGGCCAUUAGGCACGGACAGCCCACCAUUGCGGCCGUGGCGACGUUGAAGGGCUCAACAUGGCUGCGCUGCGAUUGAAUCCAACCUGAUUGGCCCACAAAAGCAUCUGGACCCGUAGUGGGACACUCUCCCGCCCACGUGUGAACCGUGAACUCCAUGGUGCCACAGCUGGACCUCUGAAGGUGGGCUGAGACGACCGUUGGCUCGGCUGAAGGCGCCGCUCCAUGAGAGUGGACUGUCCAGAGAGGCGUCUAAGGCCGGCCGGGACCAUUCGUUGUUUCCUCUACCGACCACCCUGCACACUGCUCCAGCUCGGCCUCUCCUUUCAGAUAAGAUGGCCUCCCUGCUGGUUCUGUCCAGCUCAUUCCACGCAUCCCCGCCAGUCAUCCACACGGAAACAUCCGGGCUGCAGGCGGGCCAAGUGGGAUCGCAUCUGAAAUCUGCCCCGUCUUCCUGCGAGGAGAAGCUCAUCUUGGCAGACCCAAACAGGAAGCUGAGGUUGGGGUCGCCGGGAAAUGAUUCUGGAUCGCGGCUGGCGAACUCUCGCGGAGGAAGCGGGUCGGCCGUCGUGCUCCAAGGGCUCUCCGGUGGACUUGUGCGCUGACUCGACUCGACAUGCUGAGGCUGCGUGUUGUUGUACUGGGAGGCGGUGUCGCUAAACAGCUGAGGUCAGCAGGAGAUGGUGAGCAAUGAUGAGUUAAAUCCAGCCUUCACUUCUAAAUCACCUUUAAGACUUUGUGUGGCACUUCGGGGAGCAGUUCUUCCAAUUGGGUCAGAGAUGCCCCCAGUAACCACGGCAACGAGGGUGCCCUCUUUAGCAUGAGCUGACUGACCAAAGGGUUGAUGCUGGGGAACUGUGACAGGCACUGCUCCUCCUGCUCCGAGGACACCAGUCAACAACGCAAACAUCAUCAUGAUUCGUCGGAAAUAUUCACAGUAAAUCUCACCUGUGAGCACGUCAGAGCCAGCCAGUCUCGCUCCAGGUAGCUGACAGGGUCCUGAGCACUGGACAUCAAGCUGAGGAAGCAGAUCCGAUUGACCCACUUGGCCACUUCAAACACCUCUGAGGAAAGGAGCACCUGGCAGGUCGUCCGACUUCAUGCCGAAGAGCACCAGAGAGGAGUAGACCAGCACCAAGUUGUCGAAGGCUUGGCUGGAAAACCUGCCAUCACAGCAGCAUCAAGUGCUUGACGAUUGUACGAACGCCUCGGCGACACUCACGCUGACUCCAGCGUCUGCAGCAACAGCGGCCAGUCGAUGAGUGUCCCUGUCACCAACAGCACGUACGCCACCUUGUCCUCCAGGCACCAGGAGGCACUCUCGGGGAGGACGAUGUCGAAGGUGAGGUGCUCCACUUUCCUCUCCUUGCAGAUGGUUGCCCAUGGCGACGGGCCGGGGUGGUCGUACUCCACCACCAGAGAGAAAAGAUUCCAGGGGAAGUCCGGCCCUAAAUGUUGCUCGUACACCAUCACACACACACUGUCCUGCACGCUUGGACGUACAAGCCGAGUCGACACCAGCUGCUGUAGCUCCAGCACUUUCAAGUUGGACUCGCGGUUCACGCGACUGAGGUGGAGGAUGAUCUGCAGCCUCCUCAGCAGCUCAGCCAGACCCAGGUCAGCGCACGACUCAACUGCCUUGCUCAGCAGCGUUCAGGUCACACUUGAACAACAACUCUUUGGCCGUGACCAGCACGUGGAUCAGAAGCACAUGACGGAACAGCUGCUCCUGAUCUACAUGCAAACACCGGCGUCUCAACCGUGGUUCUGUGACUGCAUUCUUCCUCAUGGUGCAUCUUCUGUGCUGUACCUCUGACCGGCUCUCCCCUCUCCGCUUGCGUCAUCCGGCACAGCGCCACCUCCCGCUGUUUGAGCACAUAACGUGUUUGGUCCGGAGCCAGGCGCUCAAAGUCCCUCCAGGCGGGCAGGUUGAGGCCCAGCUCCCUGGCAGAGGUCAGACGAGGCUGAGCGAAGGCCAGCAGCUCAUGGUAGGCCUGAUACUGACUGUCUGCAAUGUAUCGGUGAAGGCAGAGUGACUGAGUCGAACCAGUGGCUUGGAUCUGCAACACUCUGCUGCCAUCCUGGUUGAUCCGCUGAUCGUUGGUUGGAAGUACCACCGAGCUGGUGUUAUUCUGCCCUCUGCUGGCGUGUCCUGAUGUCGCAGCAGUGGUCGGCUUCCAGUCUACCAGUCUGGGAGGAGGCUGCUGCACCUCUGACUGUGGUACUUUGUCCUGCGGCUCUGGUGCUGAUGAACACAAAGAGCACAAGGCACGGAGGAACAUCCUCACUCACAGUCUGCCGGGUGGAGACAAAGCUUCCCUCUGGAGGUCAGAUGUCCUCAGUGAUACGUGAGACUGGCCGGCAGAGGCGGGAGGCGGGGUCAGAGUCACGUCCAGCUCCAUCUCGGUCGGAAGCAUGGCACGUCCUGAUGAAGGAAAGUAGAGUGGUACCUCUAAAAGUUCAACGCCAAUUCAGAAUUGGGAAAAAUACACCUCCUACAAAAGAACAAAACUUCAACAAUUUCAAAUAAGUCUAAGAGGUUGAAAAUGUGUUACUUUAUUUUAAAAUGUGUAGCGAAGCCUGCCUUUUUGUGCGCUAAUACAAAUGAGGCGGGCUCAUCCAGCUAGGGGCGGGCCACAGGCCAUAUCAUGUCCACAAGGGAGGAGGUUUUUCUACAAGCUGAAACUUGAAAAGUGAGCAUUUCAAAUGCCUUUUCUUUCAAAAGUGGAGCAAACAAGUGAGGAAGGCGAUAGAUUUUUUUCACAUUUGGUGCUCUUAAACAGGCACUUGGGACACACACGGGCGUAUUUAGCCACGUGGGGGCCCAAGGCAACCCCAAUCACUGAGGCACACAUCCUUGUGCUGCACUGACAAAAGUUUUUUUUUUUUGAAAAGGUUAGUAUAUAAUUAAGGUCGUUUUAUUCCUGCUUUUGAAAUCUGUCAUCUUAAAUUAGCUAGUCACAUAGCCAUGUUUAUAUACCGCCCCAAAAACGAUUUCAGAUAUUAAUGUUUAUCAUUUACUAACAAGUGAAUAUGAGAAAAUGCACCAAUUUCCUGAGAUAAAGUCCUUAUAAUCCCCCUAGAAGAUUAUUAUUACCUAACAAGCAACAUCUUCGGGAUGCACCGAUCAGAGUUUUAUGCUGCCGUUUCCGAUACCAUUCAUCCAGGACUGAAAUCAGCCGAUCGAUGGAUUCAUUAUACAUUUUUGAAUUUAUCUGUGAUGAGUGCUAUUGGCCAGGGGUGCCGUAUAAAGGGGAAAAGUCAGGACAAUUCCAAGGACUGCUAGAGGGCCCCAAAAACGUAAACUGAUAAAAUUAGUAAUUAAUUAAUGGGGGGGGGGACUUGUGACUUGUGUCUUCCACCGCUGAGAAAGGCUGCUCAUCUCAGCCGGUGAAUUCAGUUAUUUUUUGGGUUUUUAGCUUAGCUGACUGUCAUGCAUACGGGCGAGUGUUAGCCACAGGGCUGCGUUAGCUGCCAUGACCGUGAGCCUCUAAAACCCACCAUACUCUAUCAAGCGUUGUUCUUCAAAUGCCAUAUUAAAGCUUUUAAACGUGCUACCCCGGCCAGGUAUGUUUCGUGUCAUGUGUUAGCAGUUAGGUUCCACACGGCAGAUGUGAUUGUUUUUGUUUUGAAGAAAGUGGGAGGACGACACUGUUAAAGAUGUUUGUUAGGUCAAGACACUACACUGCACGAAAGGGCCUCUGCGGGCUGCACUAGUGCCAGCCACAGGUGAUCGACCUUUGUGAUCGGCGUUGCCGGCAUUUUAACAUCACGCGAUUUUUUUACGGAAAUUGGCCAAUCGAUCAGAGCAUCCCUAAUAAAAACUCUGUUUUCACCUCGCCUUCUCUUCUUCUCCGCUCCACUGGGGUAACUCCGCUUCAUUCUCCGCUCCCGAAGCGGCAACAAGUUUAUUUUCUACCAUCUUCCUGAAUGAGAAGGGAGAGUGAAGCGGUCGAAACGAUUAUGCUGGAUUUCUGAUAUAGUUUUAAGCACACAAAUUAAGACUAAAACAGUUAUAUGCACUUUAAAGCGAAGGGAAAAAAAUUAUCAGUUUUUAUGAGACGUCUGGGGGCCCCAGGAAAUCUCGGGGCCCUAGUGCA